This 253-nucleotide ribosomal RNA is filed under the name uncultured bacterium. Its description in RNAcentral is "partial 16S ribosomal RNA". It matches the Rfam family "Bacterial small subunit ribosomal RNA", at positions 524 to 776 of the family's 1533-position model. The record is from RNAcentral.
UACGUAGGGGGCAAGCGUUGUCCGGAUUUAUUGGGCGUAAAGAGCGUGUAGGCGGCCAGACAAGUCUGCUGUGAAAACUCGAGGCUCAACCUCGAGCCGCCGGUGGAAACUGUCUGGCUAGAGUCCGGAAGAGGAGAGUGGAAUUCCUGGUGUAGCGGUGAAAUGCGCAGAUAUCAGGAAGAACACCUAUGGCGAAGGCAGCUCUCUGGGACGGUACUGACGCUGAGACGCGAAAGCGUGGGGAGCGAACAGG